Episyrphus balteatus (marmalade hoverfly) is the source of this 1730-nucleotide long non-coding RNA. RefSeq lists it as uncharacterized. The record is from RefSeq and is a predicted model, not a curated record. The transcript has 2 exons. Lineage: Eukaryota; Metazoa; Arthropoda; Insecta; Diptera; Syrphidae.
CUGUUUAAUUUAACUUUUUUUUCAGAUACUUUAAUUAUUUUUUUUUUUUCAGGUCCUUAAAUUUUCUUUAAUUUAACUUUUUUUUUCCAGAUUAAUUUUGCACUAAUUUUGCCUUUUCUUUUUUUUUCUAGGGAUUAAUUUAUUCUUUUGUUUCUUUUACCUUGAUUUUUUUUUCUUUUCAAACCUUUCUUUUUUUUGUUUUAGCUUUAAUUUUGAAUUUGUUUUCACUGAAUUGAAUUAAAUUUUCGUGUCGGAGAGAUGACUUUAAAGAUGACGUUGGAGCCACUUGACGACUCAAAAAAAAGAUCUGGGUGUUACUUUAGUUUGUUCGAUGAUUAAUUCUACUCGAAUUUAUUCGAGAAUUUGUCCUACAACUAAAAUAACGAAGGAAUGAAAUUUUAAAUUAGCUCUAUCUCAUUUAUAUAUAAUUAAUUUUUAGGUUUUUGAAUUCUUACCGAUGGGGUCGAUGAAUUGGAGACUUUCUCAGACACGGGGUCAGAAAUUUGCUUAGACCCUGAAGAACCGAAUCGAAUUCGAAUCCAGAUUCUCUGGAGACGGUGGCUCUUCAGGACAAUUAAUUUUUGUUCAAACGCUGUGGAUAAAACGUUUCACGAAAAUUUUGUUUGCUCCUACAAAACACCGAAACUGUUUCUGGGACCAAUCUUUAAUGGAUCCUUCCCUACAGGAUGACAUUUCUGGAUCGUUGAGGAUCUUGGAGACUCAACCACUGAUGGUGAUGUACCUUAAGGGUUUUGGGUUAAUACACCCUGUUGUUGCGAGUUUCAAGAAUUCAAGCAAUUCACUUUUUGGAAGGAGACUCUAGGUUAAUUCCUAAUUGGGAUAUUUUUUUUUUUCUUUUAUGUGGUUUGUGAUGUCGAUUGCAAAGAAAAUAUCUUACCUAACGGGGAAAUUCUUUUUGCUGUAUAUUCCAGAUCACUUCGACACAAUCAGGAUGUACUCCCGUCGACCGACGAAUGCUUGCCUUGUUUGUGAAACUUGAAGGGGCAAUUGGAUUUCGUCGACUCUGGUCUGGGGUUGUAAAUUUUUUUUUUUUUUUUAGAAAGGAUCUCGUGUGGUCUGGCCGACAGGACAGAGAUACCCUUUAAAUAUAGUCGACAACUCGACUUUGUUUCCUAUACCAAAAAAAAAAUUAUUUAAUUUUUUUACCUUCUUUCUUUUCUUUUACGUUUCGUGUAUCUUUACCUUUUUUUUUUUGUUGGUUUGGGGGAUGAAUUGAUGCUUUGGUUUAUCUUUAUUUAUUUUGAUUUGUUCUUGUUUUUUUUUUACGUUCUUAUAAUUUUUACUUUUGUUAUAUGUAGGUACUUUUUUUGUUUUUCUAUGCAGGUUGGACUUCUUAUUCGCACGGUGGCUCGAUGGAAAAGAAUUUGUCGUGUGCAUUUUUGCAACACAUAAACUUCAUAAAAAAAAUUCUUUUACAUUGGGACGGAUGGAAAUAAAACGAAAACGGAUAUCAAUGGCUGAUCGGUAUGGGACGACUCAGAACAUCGGGUGGAUGUUCGUGGACAUUCCACUCAGCGAAACUUUCCACCCACUACACAAUGGGUUUAAGCUCGAUGCGCAAGUUUUUGUUAAUUUAUUAGGACAGGGUGUGUCGGUGAUUUUAUUUUUCUUUGGCGAGUGAAAUUAUUUGUUUAAUAUAUUUUUGUUUUGUAUUAAUGUAGUGUUUGAUUUUAUUUUUAAUGAAAUAAAUUGCAUUUCUUUUUAUGAAA